AUUGAACGCUGGCGGCAGGCCUAACACAUGCAAGUCGAGCGGAUGACGGGAGCUUGCUCCUUGAUUCAGCGGCGGACGGGUGAGUAAUGCCUAGGAAUCUGCCUGGUAGUGGGGGACAACGUUUCGAAAGGAACGCUAAUACCGCAUACGUCCUACGGGAGAAAGCAGGGGACCUUCGGGCCUUGCGCUAUCAGAUGAGCCUAGGUCGGAUUAGCUAGUUGGUGGGGUAAUGGCUCACCAAGGCGACGAUCCGUAACUGGUCUGAGAGGAUGAGCAGUCACACUGGAACUGAGACACGGUCCAGACUCCUACGGGAGGCAGCAGUGGGGAAUAUUGGACAAUGGGCGAAAGCCUGAUCCAGCCAUGCCGCGUGUGUGAAGAAGGUCUUCGGAUUGUAAAGCACUUUAAGUUGGGAGGAAGGGCAGUAAGCUAAUACCUUGCUGUUUUGACGUUACCGACAGAAUAAGCACCGGCUAACUCUGUGCCAGCAGCCGCAGUAC
Molecule: ribosomal RNA, 500 nt
Filed under: uncultured bacterium
Lineage: Bacteria
Description: partial 16S ribosomal RNA
Rfam family: Bacterial small subunit ribosomal RNA
Source: RNAcentral